UACGUAGGGUGCAAGCGUUGUCCGGAAUUAUUGGGCGUAAAGAGCUCGUAGGCGGUCUGUCGCGUCGGCUGUGAAAACCUAGGGCUCAACUCUGGGCUUGCAGCCGAUACGGGCAAACUAGAAUUCGGUAGGGGAGACUGGAAUUCCUGGUGUAGCGGUGAAAUGCGCAGAUAUCAGGAGGAACACCGAUGGCGAAGGCAGCUCGCUGGGACGGUACUGACGCUGAGGCGCGAAAGCGUGGGGAGCAAACAGG
RNAcentral lists this ribosomal RNA (253 nucleotides) under uncultured bacterium. RNAcentral describes it as "partial 16S ribosomal RNA". It matches the Rfam family "Bacterial small subunit ribosomal RNA", at positions 524 to 776 of the family's 1533-position model. The record is from RNAcentral.